This 604-nucleotide long non-coding RNA is filed under the name Macaca mulatta (Rhesus monkey). RNAcentral describes it as "lncRNA (ENSMMUG00000058521.1)". The record is from RNAcentral. Lineage: Eukaryota; Metazoa; Chordata; Mammalia; Primates; Cercopithecidae.
AUGAACCAGAAAUGCAAAGCUUCUCUCUUCCUCCUGCUUUCUGAUUUCAUGUUCCCUCUCCUAAUGAGUGCUGGUAUACUGAACAACCUCACAGUUACCCAAGAUUCUUGUCCAGCUAAAGUGUUUGGAUUUCACGAAGAAAACAAGCAGGGAAAAAAGCCUGGAGGAAAACGGAGAUCGUGCAAGGUGAAAGGGUUUCUGAGUGGAGAAUUGAAGCCGCAAACUGCACAUCUCAUCAUCUCUUUAAGACUACAGUGCACUGCUUUGUUGCUCCUUGGAUUCCUGUGAUCUUUGCUUCCAUUUUGCAGAGACCUAACUUGUCCUGGAUUGGUAGAUGAAAUUGGCAUGUUUCUUUCUAGAAUUUAACUAAAUAUCCUUAGAUUUAAGUACAUUUCCUUAUAAAUGGCUUAAAAGAAAAUGAUGUUCUACCUAUGCUAAAUCAACUUCAUCUUCACAUAUGUUUUCUCCACACGAAAAGGAAAUUGUUUCAAAAUCAAUAGAAUCCUAAUUUCACACUAUCCAUAGUUUACCUUGGCAUUUUAAUUAGGAAACACAGUCUUUUCAGCUCCUCUCUGAAAUCACGUUUCUUUUUUUUUUUCUCAUG